Molecule: ribosomal RNA, 301 nt
Filed under: uncultured bacterium
Lineage: Bacteria
Description: partial 16S ribosomal RNA
Rfam family: Bacterial small subunit ribosomal RNA
Source: RNAcentral
CAGCCGCCGCGGUAAUACGGAUGGUGCAAGCGUUAAUCGGAAUUACUGGGCGUAAAGCGCACGCAGGCGGUUUGUUAAGUCAGAUGUGAAAUCCCCGAGCUUAACUUGGGAACUGCAUUUGAAACUGGCAAGCUAGAGUCUUGUAGAGGGGGGUAGAAUUCCAGGUGUAGCGGUGAAAUGCGUAGAGAUCUGGAGGAAUACCGGUGGCGAAGGCGGCCCCCUGGACAAAGACUGACGCUCAGGUGCGAAAGCGUGGGGAGCAAACAGGAUUAGAUACCCGAGUAGUCCCUGUCUCUUAUAC